RNAcentral lists this ribosomal RNA (228 nucleotides) under uncultured bacterium. RNAcentral's name for it is "partial 16S ribosomal RNA". It matches the Rfam family "Bacterial small subunit ribosomal RNA", at positions 103 to 334 of the family's 1533-position model. The record is from RNAcentral.
CGGGUGAGUAACGCGUAGAAAUCCGCCUGGUAGUGGGGGAUAGCCCAGAGAAAUUUGGAUUAAUACCGCAUACGCCCUACGGGGGAAAGCAGGGGACCUUCGGGCCUUGCGCUAUCAGAUGAGUCUGCGUCGGAUUAGCUUGUUGGUGAGGUAAUGGCUCACCAAGGCGACGAUCCGUAGCUGGUCUGAGAGGAUGAUCAGCCACACUGGGACUGAGACACGGCCCAG